Tachyglossus aculeatus (Australian echidna) is the source of this 138-nucleotide small nucleolar RNA. The record is from RefSeq and is a predicted model, not a curated record. NCBI's taxonomy places the organism in Eukaryota, Metazoa, Chordata, Mammalia, Monotremata, Tachyglossidae.
CUCCUCUCAGGGUCACACCUGGAGAGUUUCCAAUACUCUACCAGUCUCAGCUACGUUAGGGAAAGUCAAGCAGGGGCCUACCCAUUCCAUUCCUAGCUUAGGUAGUGGCUAGCAAGUGGAAGGCAAUCUGCUACAGGU